This 252-nucleotide unclassified non-coding RNA is filed under the name Hevea brasiliensis (rubber tree). Lineage: Eukaryota; Viridiplantae; Streptophyta; Magnoliopsida; Malpighiales; Euphorbiaceae. The record is from RNAcentral.
AAAACUGGGCACAUGCAAAACUGAUGUAAGAUUCAUAAUAGGAGUGUAUUCAACAAAACCUAUUCCAGAUAUAUUGGCUAAGAAUUCGCUCGCUAUGAGCCUAUGAGGACUUUUUCUUUUCCUAAACACGAGGAAUAGGUUAUAAAUUUAUUUUAAGAGCCUGUCGUAUGCUUGUUUACACCAAAAUCUAUAACCCAAAGAGAUUUUUUAAGAUAAGCAAGAAAAGCAUCACCUAAUUUAACAAAAUUAAAA